RNAcentral lists this ribosomal RNA (492 nucleotides) under uncultured bacterium. RNAcentral's name for it is "partial 16S ribosomal RNA". It matches the Rfam family "Bacterial small subunit ribosomal RNA", at positions 29 to 507 of the family's 1533-position model. The record is from RNAcentral.
AGUGAACGCUGGCGGUAGGCCUAACACAUGCAAGUCGAACGGCAGCACAGUAAGAGCUUGCUCUUACGGGUGGCGAGUGGCGGACGGGUGAGGAAUGCAUCGGAAUCUACUUUUUCGUGGGGGAUAACGUAGGGAAACUUACGCUAAUACCGCAUACGACCUACGGGUGAAAGCAGGGGAUCUUCGGACCUUGCGCGAUUGAAUGAGCCGAUGUCGGAUUAGCUAGUUGGCGGGGUAAAGGCCCACCAAGGCGACGAUCCGUAGCUGGUCUGAGAGGAUGAUCAGCCACACUGGAACUGAGACACGGUCCAGACUCCUACGGGAGGCAGCAGUGGGGAAUAUUGGACAAUGGGCGCAAGCCUGAUCCAGCCAUACCGCGGGGGUGAAGAAGGCCUUCGGGUUGUAAAGCCCUUUUGUUGGGAAAGAAAAGCAGCAGGUUAAUACCCCGCUGUUCUGACGGUACCCAAAGAAUAAGCACCGGCUAACUUCGUG